GGGUGUUAGCUCAGUUGGUUAGAGCGCCGGCCUGUCACGUCGGAGGUCGCGAGUUCGAGUCUCGUACAU
Molecule: transfer RNA, 69 nt
Filed under: Eggerthella lenta
Lineage: Bacteria; Bacillati; Actinomycetota; Coriobacteriia; Eggerthellales; Eggerthellaceae
Also listed under: 15 other names
Rfam family: tRNA
About the family: Transfer RNA (tRNA) molecules are approximately 80 nucleotides in length.
Source: RNAcentral